GACGAACGCUGGCGGCGUGCUUAACACAUGCAAGUCGAACGGAAAGGCCCUGCUUUUGUGGGGUGCUCGAGUGGCGAACGGGUGAGUAACACGUGAGUAACCUGCCCUUGACUUUGGGAUAACUUCAGGAAACUGGGGCUAAUACCGGAUAGGAGCUCCUGCUGCAUGGUGGGGGUUGGAAAGUUUCGGCGGUUGGGGAUGGACUCGCGGCUUAUCAGCUUGUUGGUGGGGUAGUGGCUUACCAAGGCUUUGACGGGUAGCCGGCCUGAGAGGGUGACCGGCCACAUUGGGACUGAGAUACGGCCCAGACUCCUACGGGAGGCAGCAGUGGGGAAUAUUGCACAAUGGGCGGAAGCCUGAUGCAGCAACGCCGCGUGCGGGGUGACGGCCUUCGGGUUGUAAACCGCUUUCGCGUGUGACGAAGCGUGAGUGACGGUAAUGGGUAAAGAAGCACCGGCUAACUACGUG
This 468-nucleotide ribosomal RNA is filed under the name uncultured bacterium. RNAcentral describes it as "partial 16S ribosomal RNA". It matches the Rfam family "Bacterial small subunit ribosomal RNA", at positions 28 to 507 of the family's 1533-position model. The record is from RNAcentral.